RNAcentral lists this ribosomal RNA (492 nucleotides) under uncultured bacterium. RNAcentral's name for it is "partial 16S ribosomal RNA". It matches the Rfam family "Bacterial small subunit ribosomal RNA", at positions 29 to 507 of the family's 1533-position model. The record is from RNAcentral.
AGUGAACGCUGGCGGUAGGCCUAACACAUGCAAGUCGAACGGCAGCACAGUAAGAGCUUGCUCUUACGGGUGGCGAGUGGCGGACGGGUGAGGAAUACAUCGGAAUCUACUUUUUCGUGGGGGAUAACGUAGGGAAACUUACGCUAAUACCGCAUACGACCUACGGGUGAAAGCAGGGGAUCUUCGGACCUUGCGCGAUUGAAUGAGCCGAUGUCGGAUUAGCUCGUUGGCGGGGCAAAGGCCUUCCAAGGCGACGAUCCGUAGAUGGUCUGAGAGGAUGUUCAGCCACACUGGAACUGAGACACGGUACAGACUCCUACGGGAGGAAGCAGUGGGGAAUAUUACACAAUGGGCGAAAGCCUGAUCCAGCAAUACCGGGUGGGUGAAGAAGGCCUUCGGGUUGUAAAGUCCUUUUGUUGGGAAAGAAAAGAAGCAGGUUAAUCCCCCGCUGUUAUGACGGUACCCAAAGAAUAAGCACCGGCUAACUUCGUG